RNAcentral lists this ribosomal RNA (490 nucleotides) under uncultured bacterium. RNAcentral describes it as "partial 16S ribosomal RNA". It matches the Rfam family "Bacterial small subunit ribosomal RNA", at positions 30 to 507 of the family's 1533-position model. The record is from RNAcentral.
AUUGAACGCUGGCGGCAGGCCUAACACAUGCAAGUCGAACGGUAACAGGAAGAAGCUUGCUUCUUUGCUGACGAGUGGCGGACGGGUGAGUAAUGUCUGGGAAACUGCCUGAUGGAGGGGGAUAACUACUGGAAACGGUAGCUAAUACCGCAUAACGUCGCAAGACCAAAGAGGGGGACCUUCGGGCCUCUUGCCAUCGGAUGUACCCAGAUGGGAUUAGCUUGUUGGUGGGGUAACGGCUCACCAAGGCGACGAUCCCUAGCUGGUCUGAGAGGAUGACCAGCCACACUGGAACUGAGACACGGUCCAGACUCCCACGGGAGGCAGCAGUGGGGAAUAUUGCACAAUGGGCGCAAGCCUGAUGCAGCCAUGCCGCGUGUAUGAAGAAGGCCUUCGGGUUGUAAAGUACUUUCAGCGGGGAGGAAGGGAGUAAAGUUAAUACCUUUGCUCAUUGACGUUACCCGCAGAAGAAGCACCGGCUAACUCCGUG